CACGUAGGGGUGCGAGCGUUGUCCGGAAUCACUGGGCGUAAAGGGCGCGUAGGCGGUCGUGACAAGUCACUUGUGAAAUCUCCGGGCUUAACUCGGAACGGUCAAGUGAUACUGUCGGACUAGAGUACAGAAGGGGCAACUGGAAUUCUCGGUGUAGCGGUGAAAUGCGUAGAUAUCGAGAGGAACACCUGCGGCGAAGGCGGGUUGCUGGGACUGAUGAACUGACGCUGAGGCGCGAAAGCCAGGGGAGCGAACGGGA
This 259-nucleotide ribosomal RNA is filed under the name uncultured bacterium. Its description in RNAcentral is "partial 16S ribosomal RNA". It matches the Rfam family "Bacterial small subunit ribosomal RNA", at positions 524 to 777 of the family's 1533-position model. The record is from RNAcentral.